GACGAACGCUGGCGGCGUGCUUAACACAUGCAAGUCGAACGGUAAGGCCCUUUCGGGGGUCCACGAGUGGCGAACGGGUGCGUAACACGUGGGUGAUCUGCCCUGCACUUUGGGAUAAGCCUGGGAAACUGGGUCUAAUACCGGAUAGGACUACGCGAUGCAUGUCGUGUGGUGGAAAGCUUUUGCGGUGUGGGAUGGGCCCGCGGCCUAUCAGCUUGUUGGUGGGGUGAUGGCCUACCAAGGCGACGACGGGUAGCCGGCCUGAGAGGGUGUCCGGCCACACUGGGACUGAGAUACGGCCCAGACUCCUACGGGAGGCAGCAGUGGGGAAUAUUGCACAAUGGGCGCAAGCCUGAUGCAGCGACGCCGCGUGGGGGAUGACGGCCUUCGGGUUGUAAACCCCUUUCAGCACAGACGAAGCGUAAGUGACGGUAUGUGUAGAAGAAGCACCGGCCAACUACGUG
RNAcentral lists this ribosomal RNA (464 nucleotides) under uncultured bacterium. RNAcentral's name for it is "partial 16S ribosomal RNA". It matches the Rfam family "Bacterial small subunit ribosomal RNA", at positions 28 to 507 of the family's 1533-position model. The record is from RNAcentral.